CGCGGCCUAUCAGCUUGUUGGUGAGGUAACGGCUCACCAAGGCAACGACGGGUAGCUGGUCUGAGAGGACGAUCAGCCACACUGGAACUGAGAUACGGUCCAGACUCCUACGGGAGGCAGCAGCAGGGAAUCUUGCGCAAUGGGCGAAAGCCUGACGCAGCGACGCCGCGUGGGGGAUGAAGGCCUUAGGGUUGUAAACCCCUUUCACGAGGGAAGAAGAUGACGGUACUUCGAGAAGAAGCCCCGACCAACUACGUGCCAGCAGCCGCGGUAAGACGUGGGGGGCGAGCGUUGUCCGGAUUUAUUGGGCGUAAAGGGCUCGUAGGCGGCUUGACAAGUCGGCCGUGAAAACCCAGGGCUCAACCCUGGGACGCCGGUCGAUACUGUCAUGGCUAGGGUCCGGUAGAGGGGAAUGGAAUUCCCGGUGUAGCGGUGAAAUGCGCAGAUAUCGGGAGGAACACCAGUAACGAAGGCGGUUCCCUGGGCCGGUACCGACGCUGAGGAGCGAAAGCGUGGGUAGCAAACAGGAUUAGAUACCCUGGUAGUCCACGCCGUAAACGUUGGGUACUAGGCGUGGCGUCUUAUCAACGGAUGCCGUGCUCGAAGCUAACGCGUUAAGUACCCCGCCUGGGGAGUACGG
RNAcentral lists this ribosomal RNA (640 nucleotides) under uncultured bacterium. RNAcentral's name for it is "bacterial SSU rRNA". It matches the Rfam family "Bacterial small subunit ribosomal RNA", at positions 232 to 885 of the family's 1533-position model. The record is from RNAcentral.